Molecule: long non-coding RNA, 401 nt
Organism: Homalodisca vitripennis (glassy-winged sharpshooter)
Lineage: Eukaryota; Metazoa; Arthropoda; Insecta; Hemiptera; Cicadellidae
Exons: 3
Source: RefSeq, a predicted model, not a curated record
UAAGGAACGACCUUUCCAAGGCACAUAGGCCAUCGUUCGUUAUACUUCUGUAAGGAAGACAGUUUGUAGGAUAAUUAUAUUUUCUUAUUUUGAGUGUAAAUUUUAUAGAGAUGUCCCCAGUUCCAGUCGGCCCAAAACACGUCCAACUCUUAUUUAAAUGGUUGCCAUCAUUAUCAGUGUUUGGAGGAUCAGCAGCAGCCGUGGGGUUGUAUUUGUCUGAGUGGAGGUUAAUCUCUGAUUACAUCCCUUACUACAAUGGGAAAUUUAAAGAAGAAUAAAAAUUUUAGAUUGCUAAAUGUUCAUCAGUAGAUUAUCAGCCGAAUCCUCAAGACCACCAGCCAAUCUAAAAAUCUGUUAAUUUAUAUUGUAAAUAUAUACAUCCUUUGUUUCAAAAUGUAAAA